UAGCAUAUCAAUAAGCGGAGGAAAAGAAACCAACAGGGAUUGCCCCAGUAACGGCGAGUGAAGCGGCAACAGCUCAAAUUUGAAAUCUGGCUCUCGGGCCCGAGUUGUAAUUUGUAGAGGAUGCUUUUGGUGAGGUGCCUUCCGAGUUCCCUGGAACGGGACGCCAUAGAGGGUGAGAGCCCCGUCUGGUUGGACACCGAUCCUCUGUAAAGCUCCUUCGACGAGUCGAGUAGUUUGGGAAUGCUGCUCUAAAUGGGAGGUAUAUGUCUUCUAAAGCUAAAUACCGGCCAGAGACCGAUAGCGCACAAGUAGAGUGAUCGAAAGAUGAAAAGAACUUUGAAAAGAGAGUUAAACAGUACGUGAAAUUGUUGAAAGGGAAGCGCUUGUGACCAGACUUGGGCUUGGUUGAUCAUCCGGGGUUCUCCCCGGUGCACUCUUCCGGCUCAGGCCAGCAUCAGUUCGCCCUGGGGGAUAAAGGCUUCGGGAAUGUGGCUCUCUCCGGGGAGUGUUAUAGCCCGCUGCGUAAUACCCUGUGGCGGACUGAGGUUCGCGCAUUCGCAAGGAUGCUGGCGUAAUGGUCAUCAGUGACCCGUCUUGAAACACGGACCAAGGAGUCGUCUUCGUAUGCGAGUGUUCGGGUGUCAAACCCCUACGCGAAAUGAAAGUGAACGCAGGUGAGAGCUUCGGCGCAUCAUCGACCGAUCCUGAUGUUAUCGGAUGGAUUUGAGUAAGAGCAUACGGGGCCGGACCCGAAAGAAGGUGAACUAUGCCUGUGUAGGGUGAAGCCAGAGGAAACUCUGGUGGAGGCUCGCAGCGGGUUCUGACGUGCAAAUCGAUCGUCAAACAUGGGCAUGGGGGCGAAAGACUAAUCGAACCUUUCUAGUAGCUGGUUUCCGCGAUCU
RNAcentral lists this ribosomal RNA (902 nucleotides) under Pleosporales sp. RNAcentral's name for it is "partial large subunit ribosomal RNA". It matches the Rfam family "Eukaryotic large subunit ribosomal RNA", at positions 36 to 969 of the family's 3401-position model. The record is from RNAcentral. Lineage: Eukaryota; Fungi; Ascomycota; Dothideomycetes; Pleosporales.